UCAAGUUAUUAAGGGUGCAGGGCGGAUGCCUUGGCACUAGGAGCCGAUGAAGGACGUGAUAAGCUGCGAUAAGCUUCGGGGAGUUGCACGUAAACUUUGAUCCGAAGAUUUCCGAAUGAGGAAACUCACUUAGAGUAAUGUCUAAGUAUCAUUAAGUGAAUACAUAGCUUAAUGAGGGGAACUCAGGGAACUGAAACAUCUAAGUACCUGAAGGAAGAGAAAGAAAUUCGAUUCCGUAAGUAGCGGCGAGCGAACGCGGAUUAGCCCAAACCAAUAAAGUUUUCUUUAUUGGGGUUGCGGACAUAUCAUAACGAAGAGGUAUCGUAAUUGAAGAGGUUUGGAAAGACCCACCACAGAAGGUAAUAGUCCUGUAUGUUAAACGAGAAGACUUCAGAUAUGAUCCAGAGUACCACGGGACACGUGAAACCCUGUGGGAAGCAGGAGGGACCACCCUCCAAGGCUAAAUACUACCUAGUGACCGAUAGCGUAUAGUACCGUGAGGGAAAGGUGAAAAGAACCCCGGGAGGGGAGUGAAAUAGAACCUGAAACCCUGCACUUACAAGCUGUGGAAGCACAUUUCUUGUGUGACCGCGUACUUUUUGUAGAACGGGCCAACGAGUUACGUUAAGUAGCAAGGUUAAGCACUUAAGGUGCGGAGCCGUAGCGAAAGCGAGUUUUAACUGAGCGUUCAGUUACUUGACGUAGACCCGAAACCGGGCGACCUACCCAUGAGCAGGAUGAAGCGAAAGUAAAAUUUCGUGGAGGUCCGAACCCACGAGCGUUGAAAAGCUCGGGGAUGACUUGUGGGUAGCGGUGAAAUUCCAAUCGAGCCCGGAGAUAGCUGGUUCUCCCCGAAAUAGCUUUAGGGCUAGCCUCAAGGUGAGAGAUACGGAGGUAGAGCACUGAAUGUCCUAGGGGGUAUUGCACCUACCGAAGACUAUCAAACUCCGAAUGCCGUCAUCUUAUACUUGGGAGUCAGACUGUGGGUGAUAAGAUUCAUAGUCGAAAGGGCAACAGCCCAGAUCGUCAGCUAAGGUCCCUAAAUGUAAGUUAAGUGGUAAAGGAUGUGGGAUUGCACAGACAACCAGGAUGUUGGCUUAGAAGCAGCCACUCAUUCAAAGAGUGCGUAAUAGCUCACUGGUCGAGUGAUCCUGCGCCGAAGAUUUCCGGGGCUAAAACUUACUACCGAAGCUACGGCAUCAGUAAUGAUGGGUAGGGGAGCUUCCCAUACGGGUUGAAGCAUGACCGUAAGGACAUGUGGACAGUAUGGGAGUGAGAAUGUUGGCAUGAGUAGCGAGAUGUGGGUGAGAAUCCCACAGGCCGUAAACCCAAGGUUUCCAGGGGAAGGUUCGUCCGCCCUGGGUUAGUCGGGACCUAAGCUGAGGCCGAAAGGCGUAGGUGAUGGACAACAGGUUGAUAUUCCUGUACUACCGAUAACCGUUUGAGAGAAGGGAUGACACAGUAGGAUAAGCUAAGCACACUGUUGGUUAUGUGUGCCCAAGCAUUGAGGCAGUCAAAGUAGGCAAAUCCGCUUUGAUAAUGCUGGGAUGUGAUGGGGAGCGAAAUUUAGUAGCGAAGUAGCUGAUUUCACACUGUCAAGAAAAGUCUCUAUCGAGGUUAAAGGUACCCGUACCGCAAACCGACACAGGUGGGUGAGGAGAGUAUCCUAAGGCCAGCGAGAGAACUGUUGUUAAGGAACUCGGCAAAAUGACCCCGUAACUUAGGGAUAAGGGGUGCCACCAUCAGGUGGCCGCAGAGAAUAGGCCCAAGCGACUGUUUACCAAAAACAUAGGUUUCUGCUAAGUCGCAAGACGAUGUAUAGGAGCUGACGCCUGCCCGGUGCUGGAAGGUUAAGGGGAUCUGUUAGAGCAAUCGAAGCAGUGAACUUAAGCCCCAGUAAACGGCGGCCGUAACUAUAACGGUCCUAAGGUAGCGAAAUUCCUUGUCGGGUAAGUUCCGACCCGCACGAAAGGCGUAACGAUUUGGGCACUGUCUCAACAACAGACUCGGUGAAAUUGUAAUUCCGGUGAAGAUGCCGGAUACCUGCGACAGGACGGAAAGACCCCAUGGAGCUUUACUGUAGCUUGACAUUGGGUCUUGGUACUACAUGUACAGGAUAGGUGGGAGGCUUUGAAACCAGGACGCCAGUUUUGGCGGAGCCAUCCUUGGGAUACCACCCUUGUAGUACUGGGACUCUAACCAUAGGCCAUGAAUCUGGUCUUGGGACACUGUCAGGUGGGCAGUUUGACUGGGGCGGUCGCCUCCCAAAAGGUAACGGAGGCGCUCAAAGGUUCUCUCAGUACGGUCGGAAAUCGUACGUAGAGUGUAAAGGCAAAAGAGAGCUUGAUUGCAAGACAUACAGGUCGAG
RNAcentral lists this ribosomal RNA (2368 nucleotides) under Clostridioides difficile. RNAcentral describes it as "bacterial LSU rRNA". It matches the Rfam family "Bacterial large subunit ribosomal RNA", at positions 3 to 2393 of the family's 2925-position model. The record is from RNAcentral. Lineage: Bacteria; Bacillati; Bacillota; Clostridia; Peptostreptococcales; Peptostreptococcaceae.